Molecule: ribosomal RNA, 493 nt
Filed under: uncultured Pichia
Lineage: Eukaryota; Fungi; Ascomycota; Saccharomycetes; Saccharomycetales; Saccharomycetaceae
Description: eukaryotic LSU rRNA
Rfam family: Eukaryotic large subunit ribosomal RNA
Source: RNAcentral
AAACCAACAGGGAUUGCCUCAGUAGCGGCGAGUGAAGCGGCAAGAGCUCAGAUUUGAAAUCUCACCUAGUGUGCGAGUUGUAAAUUGCAGGUUGGAGUCUCGGGUUAGACGUGUGUGCAAGUCCCUUGGAACAGGGUGCCACUGAGGGUGAGAGCCCCGUAGCGUGCAUGUCGACACCUGUGAGGCCCUUCUGACGAGUCGAGUUGUUUGGGAAUGCAGCUCUAAGUGGGUGGUAAAUUCCAUCUAAGGCUAAAUAUUGGCGAGAGACCGAUAGCGAACAAGUACUGUGAAGGAAAGAUGAAAAGCACUUUGAAAAGAGAGUGAAACAGCACGUGAAAUUGUUGAAAGGGAAGGGUAUUGGGCUCGACAUGGGAUUUACGCAUCGUUGCCUCUCGUGGGCGCGCUCUGGGUUUUUCCUGGGCCAGCAUCGGUUUUCGUUGCAGGAUAAGGACAAUUGGAAUGUGGCUCCUCGGAGUGUUAUAGCCUUUUGUAG